This 254-nucleotide ribosomal RNA is filed under the name uncultured bacterium. RNAcentral describes it as "partial 16S ribosomal RNA". It matches the Rfam family "Bacterial small subunit ribosomal RNA", at positions 524 to 776 of the family's 1533-position model. The record is from RNAcentral.
GACAGAGGAUGCAAGCGUUAUCCGGAAUACUGGGCGUAAAGCGUGCGCAGGCGGUUCUAUAAGACAGAUGUGAAAUCCCCGGGCUCAACCUGGGAACUGCAUUUGUGACUGUAGAGCUGGAGUACGGCAGGAGGGGGAUGGAAUUCCGCGUGUAGCAGUGAAAUGGCGUAGAUAUGCGGAGGAACACCGAUGGCGAAGGCAAUCCCCUGGGCCUGUACUGACGCUCAUGCACGAAAGCGUGGGGAGCAAACAGG